GACAGCCUCAGCUGUGGAGUGGAGCUUGUUGUUUGUGUCUCCGUGUGAAGAAAUUUGUAUCAAUGCAUUCCUAUGGGUGGAGACAGAAACACACACCGAAAAAGAGCUCAGAGCAAGAAUAAAAGAGGAGGAGACAGGAUCAGAGUGGCACAGUGGAGCUUAUUGUCGGUGUCUCUGUGUGAAGAAACUGUGAAGGUAGAAAGUGUGUGUGAGCUGAUGUGAAUUGAGCAGCAUGGAUC
This is a long non-coding RNA of Oreochromis aureus, 239 nucleotides long. RefSeq lists it as uncharacterized. The record is from RefSeq and is a predicted model, not a curated record. The transcript has 3 exons. Lineage: Eukaryota; Metazoa; Chordata; Actinopteri; Cichliformes; Cichlidae.